This 87-nucleotide transfer RNA is filed under the name Bowdeniella nasicola. Its description in RNAcentral is "tRNA-Ser". It matches the Rfam family "tRNA". From Rfam's summary of the family: Transfer RNA (tRNA) molecules are approximately 80 nucleotides in length. The record is from RNAcentral. Lineage: Bacteria; Bacillati; Actinomycetota; Actinomycetes; Actinomycetales; Actinomycetaceae.
GGAGGGUUGACCGAGUGGCCGAAGGUGACGGUCUUGAAAACCGUUGUGCGGGCAACCGUACCAAGGGUUCGAAUCCCUUACCCUCCG